AACGCACAUUGCGCCCCUUGGUAUUCCGAGGGGCAUGCCUGUUCGAGCGUCAUAACACUCCCUCAAGCCGUACGGUUUUCCGUGUAGCUUUGGUGUUGGGGUUCGCCGUUUCGGUGGCCCUUAAAGGUAGUGGCAGUGCCAUCGUAAGCUCUACGCGUAGUACAAUCUCUCGCGACAGAGUAGCGAUAGUUACUGGCCAAAAGCCCAAUUAUAUGACAUGUUGACCUCGAAUCAGGUAGGGAUACCCGCUGAACUUAA
RNAcentral lists this unclassified non-coding RNA (258 nucleotides) under uncultured fungus. RNAcentral's name for it is "partial contains 5.8S ribosomal RNA, internal transcribed spacer 2, and large subunit ribosomal RNA". The stretch from base 1 to 52 matches the Rfam family "5.8S ribosomal RNA", at positions 103 to 154 of the family's 154-position model. The record is from RNAcentral. RNAcentral also lists the same sequence under 1 other name. Lineage: Eukaryota; Fungi.